GACGAACCGUGCGAACGUUGUUCGGAAUCACUGGGCAUAAAGGGCGCGUAGGCGGCCUGUCAAGUCGGGGGUGAAAUCCGGCAGCUUAACUGUCGAAGUGCCUUCGAUACUGACGGGCUCGAGGGAGGUAGGGGUCGCUGGAACUUCCGGUGGAGCGGUGAAAUGCGUUGAUAUCGGAAGGAACGCCGGUGGCGAAAGCGAGCGACUGGACCUCUUCUGACGCUGAGGCGCGAAAGCCAGGGGAGCAAACGGG
Molecule: ribosomal RNA, 253 nt
Filed under: uncultured prokaryote
Description: partial 16S ribosomal RNA
Rfam family: Bacterial small subunit ribosomal RNA
Source: RNAcentral